AGAUUGAACGCUGGCGGCAGGCCUAACACAUGCAAGUCGAGCGGUAACAGAGAGUAGCUUGCUACUUUGCUGACGAGCGGCGGACGGGUGAGUAAUGCUUGGGAACAUGCCUUGAGGUGGGGGACAACAGUUGGAAACGACUGCUAAUACCGCAUAAUGUCUACGGACCAAAGGGGGCUUCGGCUCUCGCCUUUAGAUUGGCCCAAGUGGGAUUAGCUAGUUGGUGAGGUAAUGGCUCACCAAGGCGACGAUCCCUAGCUGGUUUGAGAGGAUGAUCAGCCACACUGGGACUGAGACACGGCCCAGACUCCUACGGGAGGCAGCAGUGGGGAAUAUUGCACAAUGGGCGCAAGCCUGAUGCAGUCAUGCCGCGUGUGUGAAGAAGGCCUUCGGGUUGUAAAGCACUUUCAGUCAGGAGGAAAGGUUAGUAGUUAAUACCUGCUAGCUGUGACGUUACUGACAGAAGAAGCACCGGCUAACUCCGUGCCAGCAGCCGCGGUAAUACGGAGGGUGCGAGCGUUAAUCGGAAUUACUGGGCGUAAAGCGUACGCAGGCGGUUUGUUAAGCGAGAUGUGAAAGCCCCGGGCUCAACCUGGGAACUGCAUUUCGAACUGGCAAACUAGAGUGUGAUAGAGGGUGGUAGAAUUUCA
RNAcentral lists this ribosomal RNA (650 nucleotides) under uncultured Pseudoalteromonas sp. RNAcentral describes it as "bacterial SSU rRNA". It matches the Rfam family "Bacterial small subunit ribosomal RNA", at positions 26 to 671 of the family's 1533-position model. The record is from RNAcentral. Lineage: Bacteria; Pseudomonadati; Pseudomonadota; Gammaproteobacteria; Alteromonadales; Pseudoalteromonadaceae.